CUGCUGUGUAUUGCUAGCCUGUAGCGUUCCCUAGUUCCUGUGUUACCAUGUCCCUGCCCAUGUUUCCUAGUUCCUUGUUUUCUUGCCUUACCUUGCCUUAGUGUUCUUUGACCCUGGACUGCUUACCUGGUUUUUUAUGAUUGUUUGCUCCCUGACAUGACCUUUGUCUGUUCUGUGGAUUACUCUUUUACCUCUGCUACUCUUUUAAAUAAAGCCUGCAUUUGGAUCCACUACUGUGUUGUCACGCCUUCCCAUGUUACAGAAUACUCAGCUACACUCGGAUCCAGCAGCUUUAUGAGUGCAUCCAGGCCAGCCAGGAAUCCAGCAGCAAAAAUAAUUGGUCUCUGUCAAGGUGAGCGGUCUAUUGAGGAUUAUGUGUUGGACAUUAUUGACCAGUCCAUUUAACAUCUAUGGAUGAGAUAUGCCUCAUGAUAUUUUUCUGAGGAGGCCUAGUUGAGCCGCUGCAAUCAAUUAUGCCACUGCACAAUCCGAACUGUAUUCUGGACUCUCAUAUCGAUCUGGUACUCCAACUGAGUGGCUCUGCAUUUACUGUGGGUGUUUUUGAGGAGGAACACGACUUGCCAGCAGUAUCUCCCACUCCUGAGUCUUGUCCCAUCAUGGCCACCAGCCCAGAGCCUAUCCACAAGAGCCUCCAGCCUUCAUUGUACACGUCACGUUUGAAGACACCCAGGCAUUUCCCAGGCGUUUGAGGCUGGCUUCCAAUCUUAUGGACCCACCAUUGAUGUCGGUGCGAGGAACAGGCAUCCCAAGGGCCUCAGAACUGGUUGUCACAGAGACUGUUCCCAUAGGCUCAGUGCUCCCAGUAAUGGCGGUCGCAAUCCUGUGUGUUUGGGCUACUAAUUGCUCUGAUAUUCAUCCUGAGCCCACUGUAGUCCCCGAAUCCAUCCCAGAGCUCUUCUCAUGAGAGUGGUGGCCACUUCUGAACUCUUUGUAUGUCCUGUUAUGGAUAAGAAGGCAGUUUCUGAACUCUCUACCUGUCCUGUUAUGGCUUAGGAGGCUGUUUAUGAACUCUCUGUCUGUCCUGUCAUGGCCAAGGAGGCCAUUUGUGAACUCUCUUGUGUGUCCUGUUAUGGCCAAAGAGGCCGUCUGAACUCUCUGCCUGUCCUGUUACGGCCAUAGAGGCCGUUGUUAACCUCUCUGUAUUCUCUGUUCCAGUUAUGUCUGAUCAGACUUGGUUGUCCCUGGAAUGAAAAUGUUGCUUUGUCACUAACAUGAAUAAAUUACAUUUUAAAGUAUAUUACAAUAGAAAAAAAUAUUACAGGGCUUAAAUUGUAAUAAUAUUUCAUAAUAUUUCUGUUACUGUAUGUUUGAUCAAAUAAAUGCAGCCUUGAUGAGCAUAAGUGACAUCUUUCAAAAAACUUCUAAAAAUCUUACCGACCCUAAGCUUUUGAAUGGUAGUAUAGCUGAUAAAAUAAUUUUACAUAAU
Cyprinus carpio carpio is the source of this 1447-nucleotide long non-coding RNA. Lineage: Eukaryota; Metazoa; Chordata; Actinopteri; Cypriniformes; Cyprinidae. The record is from Ensembl.